GUCUCUGUAGCGCAAUGGAUAGCGCGUUGGACUUCUAAUCCAAAGAUCGUGGGUUCGAAUCCUUCUUGGGAUG
Molecule: transfer RNA, 73 nt
Filed under: Trichonephila clavata
Lineage: Eukaryota; Metazoa; Arthropoda; Arachnida; Araneae; Nephilidae
Rfam family: tRNA
About the family: Transfer RNA (tRNA) molecules are approximately 80 nucleotides in length. Their secondary structure includes four short double-helical elements and three loops (D, anti-codon, and T loops).
Source: Rfam by way of RNAcentral